CCAGGUGCUUUCCAUGUUCACUCCAGGUUGCUGAAACAAGAAGUGUGUCCAGCCUCCAGGGCUUGCCAGCAGCUAUUGACUGAUACGAGCACACUGUCCUCGGUGGCAGGAGGGAGCAACUUGCUUUAUCUAUGCAUUCCCUGGCAAGCAGCAGCAGUGGAGAAAGAGACAUGUCUCACUGGCCAGUGUCCAGUCCCUGGCAAGCCAAAUCAUUCUACAAGCUCUGAAACUGAAGAUAAAAAAUCAGCAAUGGAACAUUGCUGCUUGAGUCAGAGGUGUGAAGGAAUCAGCUCUCCACUCCAUGAUCCAUCCUCCAGCUCACAGCUGGUACAAAUGGGUACAUCCUUGGCAGUUCAAUCACUACUGUCCCAUUGGCUGGAAAUGUUGUAUUUUCUGACAUUAGAGUAUACACAGAUUCAUCUCAGAUGGCAACCAUGAAACUAAAUGUGCUGUUGUAAUGAUGGGAAAAAUCUUCAGUGCUUUGUUUUAUUUGACCAGUCCUCAAAAGUCAAGGUAUCCUGCUUAGAGCAUUAAGAAAAUACCCUGUAUUUUGUCCACUUACAAGUGACACAGUGGCUCUGCUUCAUACCAGAAUGUCCAUUCUCUAACACCACAUUUAUUGGAAUAAUAGGAAAAGAAAAAUUAUUUUUUUUUUUUUAGUAGGGGGGAUUGGGGUGUUUAAAGUUUAUGUUGUACUCUCAAGUCCAGAAAUCUUUUGUUUCUGGUAGGAGCUGUGCCACCUUAUUACUGGUAUUGGCUUUCUGCACAGGCCUUUAGUUGGGAUUUUACUCCACUGAGAAGUUUUCUUGUUUUGAUUGGGGAUGUUUUUUGUCCUGGUGACAAUUUUAGGUCAUGCCAAACCUCCACGUGAACAUCUCAGUUACACAGCUGCAGCCCCACCUUCCUCCAAAGAAACACUGAGAGCAUUCCUCCCCCUCACAAAGAGUGUGAGCUCUUUGCCCAGAACAACAGAGGCUUUCCUGGUAGCAAAUACCUAUUCCUCUAGUCACUCAAAGGAGAAAACAUGUUGGUGACAAGUCUUUUCCUUUUUUUUUUUUUUUGUUCUUUCCAUAGGGAAGAAUCUUGAUUCCUACCCAAAUUCUGUUUGGGUUUUUUUGUGUUUUUGGUGGGUUUUCUUUGUUUUAUGAAAAAGGCAUCGCCAUGUAAGGGGUGUUAAAUUGCUGCUGAGCCCAGAUGACGGUGGGAGGAUAGCAUUUUGCUGUUUCCUUUCCUGCAACGCUGGCUCAUGAAGCUGUGUCCCAAAUCGCUGGCAGUGUGGCUUUGCAGUGUUGUGGACAGUGAGCUGGCUCAGGUAGCUGCAGCAUACCCCACACCCUUGUACCACUGAGCAAGUGAAGUCAAUGAAGAGUUUGACAGUUUGACAGCUGUAGGAAAACAACUGUAUAUGAUGAUUAAUAAAUAGAGAAUAUUUAUGAAUGCCUUCCCUCUG
Molecule: long non-coding RNA, 1450 nt
Filed under: Parus major (Great Tit)
Lineage: Eukaryota; Metazoa; Chordata; Aves; Passeriformes; Paridae
Description: lncRNA (ENSPMJG00000019577.1)
Source: RNAcentral